GAUGAACGCUGGCGGCGUGCCUAAUACAUGCAAGUCGAGCGAACAGACGAGGAGCUUGCUCCUCUGAUGUUAGCGGCGGACGGGUGAGUAACACGUGGAUAACCUACCUAUAAGACUGGGAUAACUUCGGGAAACCGGAGCUAAUACCGGAUAACAUGUUGAACCGCAUGGUUCAACAGUGAAAGACGGUCUUGCUGUCACUUAUAGAUGGAUCCGCGCCGCAUUAGCUAGUUGGUAAGGUAACGGCUUACCAAGGCAACGAUGCGUAGCCGACCUGAGAGGGUGAUCGGCCACACUGGAACUGAGACACGGUCCAGACUCCUACGGGAGGCAGCAGUAGGGAAUCUUCCGCAAUGGGCGAAAGCCUGACGGAGCAACGCCGCGUGAGUGAAGAAGGUCUUCGGAUCGUAAACCUCUGUUAUUAGGGAAGAACAAAUGUGUAAGUAACUAUGCACGUCUUGACGGUACCUAAUCAGAAAGCCACGGCUAACUACGUG
This 497-nucleotide ribosomal RNA is filed under the name uncultured bacterium. RNAcentral's name for it is "partial 16S ribosomal RNA". It matches the Rfam family "Bacterial small subunit ribosomal RNA", at positions 28 to 507 of the family's 1533-position model. The record is from RNAcentral.